Molecule: ribosomal RNA, 253 nt
Filed under: uncultured bacterium
Lineage: Bacteria
Description: partial 16S ribosomal RNA
Rfam family: Bacterial small subunit ribosomal RNA
Source: RNAcentral
UACGUAGGGCGCAAGCGUUGUCCGGAAUUAUUGGGCGUAAAGAGCUCGUAGGCGGCUUGUCACGUCGGGUGUGAAAGCUCGGGGCUUAACCCCGGGUCUGCAUUCGAUACGGGCUAGCUAGAGUGUGGUAGGGGAGAUCGGAAUUCCUGGUGUAGCGGUGAAAUGCGCAGAUAUCAGGAGGAACACCGGUGGCGAAGGCGGCUCACUGGCUCGUUUCUGACGCUCAGGCGCGACAGCGUGGGGAGCGAACAGG